UACAGGAAUUGCAUUUAAUUGAUCUACCACAGUUGAGGCAUAUAUGGAACAAGGAUCCUCAAGGAAUUUUGAGUUUUGAAAACCUAAAACUACUGAAGGUUUAUAACUGUAGCAGCUUGACAAAUAUAUUAACUCUUCCAAUGGCUUUGGGGCUUGUGCGACUAGAGCAUAUGGAAGUAGAGGGAUGCAUUUUGUUGGAGCAGAUCAUCAACAAAGAAGGGGAAAAGGAAGAUGAAGGAGAGUGGGAUAAGACCAUAUUCCCUUCAUUACACACCAUCAAUCUUGA
Molecule: unclassified non-coding RNA, 286 nt
Filed under: Hevea brasiliensis (rubber tree)
Lineage: Eukaryota; Viridiplantae; Streptophyta; Magnoliopsida; Malpighiales; Euphorbiaceae
Source: RNAcentral